UCCCCCGUGAGGGGGCAGUCUCGCCUGACAUAAGUAACAGACAACGGGGGUUGCGUUCGUUACCCCACUGAAGGGAACAGCUCAAGCCACGAACUGACGACAACCAUGCAUCACCUGCCAAGCACCCUCGAAGGCUCUCAACCUUUCGGAAGAGAUGCAGCUUGGUUUCUAGCCCUGGUAAGGUUCUUCGCUUAACGACGAAUUAAGCCACAUGAUCCACCGCUUGUGCGAGUCCCCGUCUAUUCCUUUGAGUUUUAAUCUUGCGAUCGUACUACCCAGGCGGCUCGCUUACCGCGUUAGCUUAGUCCCACAGAGGGUCGAUACUCCGUAGAACGAGCGAGCAGCGUUUAGGGCCAGGACUAC
This 363-nucleotide unclassified non-coding RNA is filed under the name uncultured bacterium. RNAcentral's name for it is "contains 16S-23S intergenic spacer region". The record is from RNAcentral.